This 496-nucleotide ribosomal RNA is filed under the name uncultured bacterium. RNAcentral describes it as "partial 16S ribosomal RNA". It matches the Rfam family "Bacterial small subunit ribosomal RNA", at positions 28 to 507 of the family's 1533-position model. The record is from RNAcentral.
GAUGAACGCUGGCGGCGUGCCUAAUACAUGCAAGUCGAGCGAACGGACGAGAAGCUUGCUUCUCUGAUGUUAGCGGCGGACGGGUGAGUAACACGUGGAUAACCUACCUAUAAGACUGGGAUAACUUCGGGAAACCGGAGCUAAUACCGGAUAAUAUUUUGAACCGCAUGGUUCAAAAGUGAAAGACGGUCUUGCUGUCACUUAUAGAUGGAUCGCGCUGCAUUAGCUAGUUGGUAAGGUAACGGCUUACCAAGGCAACGAUGCAUAGCCGACCUGAGAGGGUGAUCGGCCACACUGGAACUGAGACACGGUCCAGACUCCUACGGGAGGCAGCAGUAGGGAAUCUUCCGCAAUGGGCGAAAGCCUGACGGAGCAACGCCGCGUGAGUGAUGAAGGUCUUCGGAUCGUAAAACUCUGUUAUUAGGGAAGAACAUAUGUGUAAGUAACUGUGCACAUCUUGACGGUACCUAAUCAGAAAGCCACGGCUAACUACGUG